This is an RNA transcript of Cyprinus carpio (common carp), 3519 nucleotides long. It is a transcript of the gene named semaphorin-4D-like, with no coding region annotated. The record is from RefSeq and is a predicted model, not a curated record. NCBI's taxonomy places the organism in Eukaryota, Metazoa, Chordata, Actinopteri, Cypriniformes, Cyprinidae. The transcript has 17 exons.
UCACACACACACACACACACACACACACACACACACACACACACAAACAAACAUUGCUGAGAGGGAGAAACAGGUCGCGGCAUCAGCUCUCACAAACUCUUUAAACUUUAAACGUUUAACCGGAGCGCGGAGGAGCGGAGCACUUGACGCCGCCUGGAUCUGUGAAGAGCUCUCUGCUCCAUCUUCUGCUGCCUGAGACGUGAACCCCAGAGAGACUCUUAAUGAAUCAGUUUUCGCCGCUCGAUGCCAUGGCGUUCAAAGGAAACAUCACGCUGCCGAGGAUCCCGGAGUCUAACAUGGCUCUGAGCGUGUUAGGUAUGUUUCUGGGAUUGCUUCUGGAAGUUUCCACACACGGACCCUCCAGCGUUCCCAGAAGCUCAUGGAGGCAUGACGAUGUGAAUGUGCAGGAGUUCUGGGAGCCGGAUGUGUUCAACUACACGACCCUCCUGCUGAGCGAGGAGCGCGGCGUGCUGUAUGUCGGCGCUCGAGAGGCCGUCUACCAACUCAACAUGAGCAACGUGUCAAUCAAGAGCAACCAGCUGCUGUGGAAAGUUCCAGAGAGAGACAUGUCGAUGUGUAUUUUAAAGGGGAAAUCUAAAGAGACGGACUGUCGAAACUACAUUCGAGUUUUGCAAGUGCUGGAUGAAGACACUCUGUAUGUUUGUGGGACUCACGCGUUUCAACCCCUCUGUGAUUAUCUGUCGCUGCAGGGUUUCCGUUUGCAGGACAGAGCAGAGGACGGCAGGGGGAAGUGCUCCUUUGACCCGGCCCAGAGCUUCACCAGCGUGAUGGUUGAUGGAGAGUUGUACUCGGGAACGGCGUAUAACUUCCUGGGCAGCGAGCCGAUCAUCUCCAGAUCUUCUCUGUCUCAGAGUUUACUGCGCACAGAGUAUUCGACGUCCUGGCUCAACGAGCCCAGUUUCGUCUUCGCUGAUGUGAUCCGAGAAGGGCAGAACAGUCCAGAUGGAGAUGACGAUAAGAUCUACUACUUCUUCACAGAGGUGUCGGUGGAGUACGAGUUCUUCGGGAAGCUGCUCAUCCCCAGAAUCGCUCGCGUUUGUAAGGGGGAUCUGGGAGGCCAGCGGACGCUGCAGAAGAAGUGGACGUCGUUUCUGAAGGCUAAGCUGGUUUGCUCAAUGCCGGAGCUCAACUUUGUGUUCAAUGUGGUUCAUGAUGUGUUUAUUCUGAAAGCGCCACACUGGAGAGACACCGUCAUCUAUGGGGUCUUCACAUCUCAGUGGGGGAAUGUUGGUCUGUCCGCCGUCUGUGCGUAUAACAUGAGCUCGGUGCAUGAGGUUUUCUCCAAAGGGAAGUUCAUGCAGAAGGCCACGGUGGAACAGUCCCACACCAAGUGGGUUCGAUUUAAUGGCAUCACCCCGAAUCCCAGACCCGGAGAGUGCAUCAACAACCUGAACCGCAUGCAGAACAUCACCUCGUCGCUCCAGCUGCCCGAUAAGACGCUGCAAUUUGUGAAGGACCAUCCGCUGCUGGAGGACCCCGUGCUGCCCAUCGGAAACGGCCCGCGCCUCGUCACCAAAGACGUCAACUACACGCAGAUCGCCGUCCAGAGAGUGCAGGCCCUCGACGGAAGCAUCCACCACGUCAUUUUCACCGGCACCGAUAAAGGUUUGCUGCACAAAUCGCUGGUGUUGGAGGGCGAGGUUCACAUAGUGGAGGAAAUCCAGCUGCUGAAGAACACUGAGCCAAUUAAAACACUUCUGCUCUCCUCACAAGUGGCGCGGUUCCUGUACGCUGGAUCAGACUCAGGUGUGGUUCAGUCUCCCACAGCGUUCUGUGAGAAGUACCCGUCCUGUGUGGACUGUGUUCUGGCGCGGGACCCGUACUGUGCCUGGGACCCGCACUCGGGCUCCUGCCUCAAUAUUUUCCAGCAUGAUGCCGAUCCACGGAAGUUGAUUCAGAGCCUCAAAGGGGAUGCUGGGACAUGCCCUACAGUCUCUCCUCUGGCGGUGGGCGACUAUCAGCAGGUGUUGGUGAAGCCGGGCGGCUCUGCCGAUCUGCCGUGUCCGGUGCGCUCAAACCUGGCUCAGGUGUUGUGGAAGCUCAACGGCCGCGUCCUGACCGAAGCCUCGCGCUUCCUCCUGCUGAGCGAGAACGGGCUGCUGAUCUACAGCGUGAUGCCGGAGGACGCCGGCCGCUACGAGUGCUGGUCCGUCGAAGCGUCCAUGGGGAAGAACUUCACCCGUCUGGUGGUGGGAUACGCGCUUCAACUGGAGCUUCCUGAGAGUGCACCGUCCGUAUCUGCUCUGCAUCCGUCCAGCGCCGCGUCUACGCUCCCACCGGAGGAAGGUAAUACCAGUAACGGCUCGGGACUAACGCCGGCUCACACGGACGCUCCCUCACUAACAACCCCUCCCAGCAACGCCAUUAAACCCAAACACUACAUCCCCCCGGAGGUCAGCAACUUACCCACACGCACAGAGACGCUCGACCCCUCGGCUAAAUACAUUCAGCAGGACAACAGCGUGGCCCUGCUGUCGCUCUUCCUGCUCUUCUUCCUGCUCUUCCUCGCCGCUCUGGCGUACAACUGUUACAUGCAGUACCUGCCUGCGCCGUGUCUCCGCCUGCGAUCCGCGCUGCUCGGCUCAAAUAAAAAGCCACAGCCGGAGUAUGCAGCCUGCGAGGCCGGCCUGAUGGAGACAGUGCAGGAAAAGAUGGAUCCGGCCAAUCAGAACGGAGCGCAUCCGCUGCGCACACUCAGAGACACUGGAUACGAGACGGAGCCGGAAUGUGGGAACGGCGGAGUUCCAUCCGGCAAUGACGACAGUCCCUCGAAAGAGCAGCCCUUCGACGUGGACUGUGCAUCGCAGCCGAUUGAGUACGCAGACGCAGACGCAGACGCCGACACGCCGUACUGAUGCACCGCUUUUCACUCGCAUUCACAGAAUCACCGCAGCUCUGCAAGAACAGACGCAGAAUACCAAAUAAGAUUCCAAAUUGGAAACAUUGUUUACCAAAUUGUGUUGGGUCUGACCUGAAGUGGGGAUUGAAGGAAUCUCAGGGAUGCUUUCAGUGUCACACACGCAGGAUCUCAUGACGAAGAACUGCUCUGGAAGAGCUCAAACAUGGAGCCAGACUGAACUAUAACAGACCAAAAACACUGUGAUGUGUCUCUUGCACAGCUUCCUGUGGUGGUUUGUGCUGUGGAUGCAGAUGAGAUGUCUAACACACUUAACCUGCGAAAGGGCCGCUGUCUCACAUAACAAUACGUGUGAUUCGUGAGACUUUUCCACUGUAGUCCACAAACGUCAGCUUUGAAAGCUUUGUUUCAGAUCUUUUUUAAAGAUAUUAUAUUAUUUAAUUGUAUGUCAGCAAUAAUAGUGUAAAUACUGUAUCUUAAAAAAUGCCAAGAAACCCCAAAAUUUUAAGAAAAACCAAAACAUUUUUGCAUAAAAAGGAAAAUUUUUAGGACCAUAUUAUUCUUUCUUUUUUUCUCUUCUUUCUCCAUUUUGACAUUAUUUCAUGACUGAUUUUAAGAAAAUCUACUUUUUGGAGGGGUUU